GGUGUCCUGUUCUGGCAGCCUUUAGCCGCGUUAGUGGAUUGAUCGGAUUCAGCACGAAUGCCACAGAGUUGUAAAAAGUAAAUCCAUCGCACAGCGGAGAUAGGAAGACGACAUGACAAUCAGACACGCAGAAGUGGAGGACCGUGUCCACCAGCGACCUGUCUCCUCUGCUCGUCCUUGGCCGUCUACCUGAGUAGAACGUUGGGCAUGUGUCGCAUGCCGCUGGCCGGUCUGUGCCAACGCCCGUGGCCGCAGGGAGCGCCCGCGUAGGUCUCCGGCUGUUUGUCUGCAGCUGGAGCGAGCUGUUGUGUGCCUUCUCGUCCUCAUGGGCGUCAUGUUUCAUUUUAGGCCGUUCAGGAUUCCGACUCCGUGGUGCUUGUUUCCCGCCCGGAGCUUCGAGCAGCCCUCCGAUCGUUUCUGGGCUCGGUCUACUGAGAUGAAGUCUCCUAAACCAGAAUUGGGUGCAGUCCCACGUUCGCAUUACCAAACGGGAAGAGUUCGGGCACCCGCUUCGAGCGGAGACCAACGCCAAGCAGAACAGCAGUCUCUUUAUUCCUCGCUUUACCCAAGGAGAAUGGGCAGACGACGGCUCAGAAGCCCAAACUCCCCGAUCCAGGGUCCAGUUUAAUUCACAGGCCCCCAUAACGGACCCUAAGAGGGUGUAGGAAAAAGUUUUCCUCCUUGAUAGAAGACAGGGCAGAUAACGGCUGCUUCUACGUCCAAGUCAAACCACGGCAAUGAGGCUUAUUAUGGUGAUUUCAAACAAACAAAUGCCAAAUGCAUUUUUAAAAGAAUAAUGAUGGUUACCAAAACUUAUGCAUUCUACAUUUACCUGUAAAGGCAAAAUGAGAUUCUGUUACGUAGAUAAAAUCUUCUAGAAAUCACGAUCUUUUCUUUCUAUUAAAUUUUUCUAUUAAAUUUUAACAUCUUUAUGGAGAUAUAGUUCACACGCCAUAAAGCUUACUUAUUUAGAGCGUACGAUUCAAUGUAUUCCUAUUAGUUUUUUUUAUUAUUAUUAUUGUAGUGUAGUAAAACACAGAAUGUGAAAUUUAGCAUCUACAUCAUCUCGAACGGUACAGUUCAGUCGUGGAAAACAUAUUCGCUGCUGCGCAACAGAUCUUUCCGAAACUCUGAAUUUCUGUAUUUUUAACACUGU
Long non-coding RNA from Pteropus alecto (black flying fox), 1156 nucleotides. RefSeq lists it as uncharacterized. NCBI's taxonomy places the organism in Eukaryota, Metazoa, Chordata, Mammalia, Chiroptera, Pteropodidae. The transcript has 3 exons. The record is from RefSeq and is a predicted model, not a curated record.